AACCUCAAGCAUAACAUCAAAUACCAAAGCUGCAUAAAGAAAAAACGGUCCCAAUCCCAUUAAACAUGAAACCACUCGCUCUAUGUUUUGUAUCCUCUUUCUUCAACCGCAGCAUUUCAUGAGAGCCUCAUGCAUAAAAGCUGAUCCCCAUGAUACACGUGAAGCUCAAAAUACGUUGACCUCGUUGACCAAAAGAAAAAAGCAGUGAAAC
RNAcentral lists this long non-coding RNA (211 nucleotides) under Arachis ipaensis. Its description in RNAcentral is "long non-coding RNA (AIPA_LNC000709)". The record is from RNAcentral. Lineage: Eukaryota; Viridiplantae; Streptophyta; Magnoliopsida; Fabales; Fabaceae.